This 501-nucleotide ribosomal RNA is filed under the name uncultured Glomus. RNAcentral describes it as "SSU rRNA". It matches the Rfam family "Eukaryotic small subunit ribosomal RNA", at positions 569 to 1076 of the family's 1831-position model. The record is from RNAcentral. Lineage: Eukaryota; Fungi; Glomeromycota; Glomeromycetes; Glomerales; Glomeraceae.
AGCGGCCGCGGUAAUUCCAGCUCCAAUAGCGUAUAUUAAAGUUGUUGCAGUUAAAAAGCUCGUAGUUGAAUUUCGGGAUCAAAUUGUCGGUCGUGCCUCGGUACGUACUGGCGUUAUUGGUUCCUCCCUUCUGAAGAACCGCGAUGUCAUUAAUUUGGUGUCGCGGGGAAUCAGGACUGUUACUUUGAAAAAAUUAGAGUGUUUAAAGCAGGCUCGCGCUUGAAUACAUUAGCAUGGAAUAAUGAAAUAGGACGUUUGAUUCUAUUUUGUGGUUUCUAGGAUCGACGUAAUGAUUAAUAGGGAUAGUUGGGGGCAUUAGUAUUCAAUUGUCAGAGGUGAAAUUCUUGGAUUUAUUGAAGACUAACUACUGCGAAAGCAUUUGCCAAGGAUGUUUUCAUUAAUCAAGAACGAAAGUUAGGGGAUCGAAGACGAUCAGAUACCGUCGUAGUCUUAACCAUAAACUAUGCCGACUAGGGAUCGGAUGAUGUUAAUUUUUUAAUG